Long non-coding RNA from Cryptotermes secundus, 471 nucleotides. RefSeq lists it as uncharacterized. The record is from RefSeq and is a predicted model, not a curated record. The transcript is spliced from 2 exons. Lineage: Eukaryota; Metazoa; Arthropoda; Insecta; Blattodea; Kalotermitidae.
CAAAGGCAAAAGGCUGCUCGUGUGAGGGUCCAUAGGGUGAAAGGCACAAAUCAAAGGGGCCAUAAGGCAACUAAAACCCUCGGGGUCAGUGGAAAAGGGGCCCGUAGCUGCCACAGUCCUGCGUCAUCAAGGAUAUUGGCAAUGGAGGAUGUUGACACCAGUCCAUGCCCUCAGUCCAUGGGUGAUGUCAGCACUGCAGUAAAUUGUGCCUAUGCGACCUUGAUGCAUGACCAGCAAUUGCCACAUGUGCACGCACCUGGAUUCGAAAUUACCAGCAUAUUGAGGGAGAGUCCUGAUGUUGCCACUCUGAUAGAAUUUGUUCAACUGGAGCUCCCAAAAUGGGAUUUUUUGUUUAAAUUAAAUUUAAUAAAUGCUCACUAUGUAGACUCAGCAACAGUUAUUAAAUAAGCUUAGAAUUAUUUCUUUUUUGACACUUGCUGCUUUGAGUGAAAUUGUCUCUUUUAUUUAUUA